This 433-nucleotide ribosomal RNA is filed under the name uncultured bacterium. RNAcentral describes it as "partial 16S ribosomal RNA". It matches the Rfam family "Bacterial small subunit ribosomal RNA", at positions 29 to 507 of the family's 1533-position model. The record is from RNAcentral.
AACGAACGCUGGCGGCAUGCCUAACACAUGCAAGUCGAACGAGACCUUCGGGUCUAGUGGCGCACGGGUGCGUAACGCGUGGGAACCUGCCCUUAGGUUCGGAAUAACUCCCCGAAAGGGGUGCUAAUACCGGAUAAUGUCUUCGGACCAAAGAUUUAUCGCCUUUGGAUGGGCCCGCGUUGGAUUAGCUAGUUGGUAGGGUAAAAGCCUACCAAGGCGACGAUCCUUAGCUGGUCUGAGAGGAUGAUCAGCCACACUGGGACUGAGACACGGCCCAGACUCCUACGGGAGGCAGCAGUGGGGAAUAUUAGACAAUGGGCGAAAGCCUGAUACAGCAAUGCCGCGUGAGUGAUGAAGGCCUUAGGGUUGUAAAGCUCUUUUACCCGGGAUGAUAAUGACAGUACCGGGAGAAUAAGCUCCGGCUAACUCCGUG